Molecule: non-coding RNA, 78 nt
Organism: Podarcis lilfordi (Lilford's wall lizard)
Lineage: Eukaryota; Metazoa; Chordata; Lepidosauria; Squamata; Lacertidae
Source: the annotation of a GenBank genome assembly
AUUUUAGGUGUGUGUGUAUAUGUGUAUGUGUGUAUAUAAACACACAUAUGUAUAUAUGUAUACACACAAUUUAAAUAC